RNAcentral lists this ribosomal RNA (505 nucleotides) under Haliotis diversicolor. RNAcentral describes it as "partial 16S ribosomal RNA". It matches the Rfam family "Bacterial large subunit ribosomal RNA", at positions 1850 to 2597 of the family's 2925-position model. The record is from RNAcentral. Lineage: Eukaryota; Metazoa; Mollusca; Gastropoda; Lepetellida; Haliotidae.
GAGUCGGACCUGCCCGGUGACCUACGGGUUAAACGGCCGCGGUACACUGACCGUGCAAAGGUAGCACAAUCACUUGCCCUUUAAUUAGAGGCUGGUAUGAAUGGUUUGACAAGGGUUGAGCUGUCUCUUUUGGAAUAUUUAAAAAUUAACUUCUAGGUGAAAAGGCCUAGAUUGAGCUGAGGGACGAGAAGACCCUGUUGAGCUUUAGUGUUGGGUAGAGAGUGGCAUUUCUAUUAUUAAUAGAAAGUUUAGAUUUACUUUUACAUCUUUAGUUGGGGUGACUAGGGAACAUGGAUAGCUUCUCUGUUGUUUGUUUAACUUAAUUUGGUGGACUGACUGGUGAUCCAGCAUUGUUGAUUAUCGGAAAAAGUUACCACAGGGAUAACAGCGUAAUCUUUCUGGAGAGUUCACAUUGAAAGAAGGGUUUGCGACCUCGAUGUUGGAUUAAGGUGUCCUGAGGGUGUAGCAGCUUUCGUUGGUUGGUCUGUUCGACCAUUAAAACCUU